CGCGGGGUGGAGCAGCUCGGUAGCUCGUCGGGCUCAUAACCCGAAGGUCGUCGGUUCAAAUCCGGCCCCCGCA
This 73-nucleotide transfer RNA is filed under the name Aeromonas hydrophila. Its description in RNAcentral is "tRNA-Met". It matches the Rfam family "tRNA". Rfam says of the family: Transfer RNA (tRNA) molecules are approximately 80 nucleotides in length. RNAcentral also lists the same sequence under 6 other names. Lineage: Bacteria; Pseudomonadati; Pseudomonadota; Gammaproteobacteria; Aeromonadales; Aeromonadaceae. The record is from RNAcentral.